Molecule: unclassified non-coding RNA, 379 nt
Filed under: uncultured Oligoflexales bacterium
Lineage: Bacteria; Pseudomonadati; Bdellovibrionota; Oligoflexia; Oligoflexales
Description: contains 16S-23S intergenic spacer region
Source: RNAcentral
UCCGUGUUAACCACGGCAGUCUCUCUAGAGUGCCCAACUGAAUGCUGGCAACUAAAGACAAGGGUUGCGCUCGUUGCGGGACUUAACCCAACAUGUCACCACACGAGCUGACGACAGCCAUGCAGCACCUGUCUCUCGGUCGUAUUGCUACGAAUUACGCGUCUCUGCGUCGGUCCGAGGAUGUCAAACCCAGGUAAGGUUCUUCGCGUUGCUUCGAAUUAAACCACAUGAUCCACCGCUUGUGCGGGCCCCCGUCAAUUCCUUUGAGUUUUAGUCUUGCGACCGUACUUCCCAGGCGGGGUACUUAUUGCGUUAGCUCCGGCUCGGCAGGGGUCAAUACCCACCAAGCCUAGUACCCAUCGUUUACAGCAUGGACUAC